AGAGCACAGGGAGGAUGCCUUGGCAUCAGGAGCCGAAGAAGGACGUGACAAGCUGCGAUAAGCUGUGGGGAAUGGCAAAUACGUAUUGAUCCACAGAUUUCCGAAUGGGGAAACCCGGCCAGAGUAGAGACUGGUCAACCUAUGGUGAACAAAAUAGCCGUAGGUGGGGAACCCGCCGAACUGAAACAUCUAAGUAGGCGGAGGAAGAGAAAGAAACAUCGAUUUCCUGAGUAGCGGCGAGCGAAAGGGAACGAGGCCAAACCGGAGGUAGCAAUACCUUCGGGGUUGCGGACUGCAUAAUGCAUUGCAAAGAGUUAGUAGAACCGUAUGGGAAGACGGGCCACAGAGGGUAAAAGCCCCGUAUGCGAAAAUUCUGAGCAGCAGGCAGGAUCCAGAGUACCAUCGGACACGAGUAACCCGGUGGGAAGCCGGGGGGCCCACCCCCCAAGCCUAAAUACUACCUGAUGACCGAUAGCGCACAGUACUGUGAAGGAAAGGUGAAAAGAACCCCGGGAGGGGAGUGAAAGAGAACCUGAAACCCUGUGUUUACAAGCAGACAGAGCACGUUAAGGUGCGAUGUCGUACUUUUUGUAGAACGGUCCAGCGAGUAUAUGUCACAAGCAAGGUUAAGUGCUUAAGGUACGAAGCCGAAGGGAAACCGAGUCUUAAUAGGGCGGAUAGUUUGUGGUAUAUGACCCGAAACCGGGUGACCUAUCCAUGGACAGGUUGAAGUGGAGGUAAAACUCCAUGGAGGACCGAACCCACGUCUGUUGAAAAAGACGGGGAUGAGCUGUGGAUAGCGGUGAAAUUCCAAUCGAACUCGGAUAUAGCUGGUUCUCCUCGAAAUAGCUUUAGGGCUAGCCUUGUGUUAGUCUGGCGGAGGUAAAGCACUGAAUGGGCUAGGGGGCUUCACGGCUUACCGAACUCUAUCAAACUCAGAAUGCCGCACAGAUGAUGCACAGGAGUCAGACUAUGUGAGAUAAGUUUCAUAGUCGAAAGGGAAACAGCCCAGACCUACAGCUAAGGUCCCAAAAUAGAUUUAAGUGGAAAAGGAUGUGCUACUGCGCAGACAACUAGGAUGUUGGCUUAGAAGCAGCCACUCAUUAAAAGAGUGCGUAAUAGCUCACUAGUCGAGUGGUGGUGCGCCGAAAAUGUAACGGGGCUAAAAUCUAUACCGAAGCUUAGGCUUGGAGUAAAUAGUUAAGAGUAAAUAGUAAAUAGUAGAAAGGUAACGUGUGAUGUAUGAAUUUGUAUAAGGAACUGGAGGUAUACAAAAGGGCAUACCGGUUAUCGGUGAGCGUAUACAAAUUCGCGAGCACAUUACCAAAGGAAGAGAUCUAUGGUUUAGCGAGUCAGUUGAAGCGGGCGGUGACAAGCAUACCGCUCAACAUUGCGGAAGGCUACGGCAAGGACGACAGCAAAGCGGAGCUUAGACGCUAUCUGAAGAUGGCGCAGGGUUCGUGCGCGGAGCUGGAAGUGCUGACAGACAUCUGUAUGGAUGUGGGCUAUAUGGAACGGAGCAUACAUGACAGAUAUGAAGCGGAGCUUGUCGCAAUCAGCAAGAUGCUGUAUCAACUGAUCAAAAGUAUCAAAUGAGAAAACUACUAUAUACUGUUAACUGUUAACUGUUUACUCCAGGGGUAGAGGAGCAUUGCAUGCGGGGCGAAGCGGUACCGUAAGGAGCCGUGGACUGCAUGCAAGAGAGAAUGCUGGAAUGAGUAGCGAGAAUUAUGUGAGAAUCAUAAUGGCCGAAAAUCUGAGGUUUCCUGAGGAAGGUUCGUCCGCUCAGGGUAAGUCGGGAGCUAAGGCGAGGCGGAAACGCGUAGUCGAUGCACAUACGGUUGAAAUUCCGUAACCACCGAAACCGAUAAGAUAUACAGGGACGCAGGAGCAUAGCCUGACCGCACCGUUGGUAGAGUGCGGCGUAAGGGACCGAAAUACAAGUAGGGAAGCAGGCGAUUGCACACUGACGAGAAAAGCUGUAUAUUUGGCGAGGUGCCCGUACCGCAAACCGACACAGGUAGAUGAGGAGAGAAUCCUAAGGCCAACGGGAGAAGCGUUGUUAAGGAACUCGGCAAAAUGACCCCGUAACUUCGGGAUAAGGGGAGCCGGCGAAAGCCGGCCGCAGAGAAUAGUCCCAAGCGACUGUUUAGCAAAAACACAGGUCUAUGCUAAGUCGAAAGACGACGUAUAUGGGCUGACGCCUGCCCGGUGCUGGAAGGUUAAGGGGAAUGCUUAGCGCAAGCGAAGGCGUGAACUUAAGCCCCAGUAAACGGCGGCCGUAACUAUAACGGUCCUAAGGUAGCGAAAUUCCUUGUCAGGUAAGUUCUGACCCGCACGAAUGGCGUAACGAUUUGGGAGCUGUCUCAACAACGUACCCGGCGAAAUUGAAGUACCGGUGAAGAUGCCGGUUACCCGCGACAAGACGGAAAGACCCCAUGGAGCUUUACUGUAGCCUGAUAUUGAAUUUUUGUAUCACAUGUACAGAAUAGGUGGGAGACUGCGAAGCCCGGGCGCCAGCUUGGGUGGAGUCACCGUUGGGAUACCACUCUUGUGAUAUGAAGGUUCUAACCUGCGGCCGUGAAUCCGGCCGGGGGACACUGUCAGGUGGGCAGUUUGACUGGGGCGGUCGCCUCCAAAAGAGUAACGGAGGCGUUCAAAGGUUGCUUCAGCACGGACGGGAAUCGUGCGUAGAGUGCAAACGCAUAAGGCAGCCUAACUGCGAGACGUACAGGUCGAGCAGUAACGAAAGUUGGAGUUAGUGAUCCGGCGGAAUGAGAGUGGAAUUGCCGUCGCUCAACGGAUAAAAGCUACCCUGGGGAUAACAGGCUGAUCUCCCCCAAGAGUUCACAUCGACGGGGAGGUUUGG
Molecule: ribosomal RNA, 2869 nt
Filed under: Bacteroidetes bacterium ADurb.BinA104
Lineage: Bacteria; Pseudomonadati; Bacteroidota
Description: bacterial LSU rRNA
Rfam family: Bacterial large subunit ribosomal RNA
Source: RNAcentral